UACGUAGGUCCCGAGCGUUGUCCGGAUUUAUUGGGCGUAAAGCGAGCGCAGGUGGUUUAUUAAGUCUGGUGUAAAAGGCAGUGGCUCAACCAUUGUAUGCAUUGGAAACUGGUAGACUUGAGUGCAGGAGAGGAGAGUGGAAUUCCAUGUGUAGCGGUGAAAUGCGUAGAUAUAAGGAAGAACACCAGUGGCGAAGGCGGAUGACUGGACGGCAACUGACGGUGAGGCGCGAAAGCGUGGGGAGCAAACAGG
This 252-nucleotide ribosomal RNA is filed under the name uncultured bacterium. RNAcentral describes it as "partial 16S ribosomal RNA". It matches the Rfam family "Bacterial small subunit ribosomal RNA", at positions 524 to 776 of the family's 1533-position model. The record is from RNAcentral.